RNAcentral lists this transfer RNA (61 nucleotides) under Typosyllis antoni. RNAcentral describes it as "tRNA-Asn". Lineage: Eukaryota; Metazoa; Annelida; Polychaeta; Phyllodocida; Syllidae. The record is from RNAcentral.
UCUACAAUAGCAUAUUUAAUGCAAUUAACUGUUAAUUAAAAGAAACUUAUAGUUUGUAGAU